AAAGUGCGACAAGUGUCAUGACUUGCAGAUACCCGAGAGCUGACAAAUUUCUGAAUGCAAAUUGCAGCCAAGUUAAUCUGGCUAUGUAUUGCAGAGAGUACUUCGCGUAUGCGCUCCAUCCAGAGAUGCUUGCUCAUCCUGGGACGUGCACCGUCUAUCUUGGUUCGCCGAGAGACCACGGACUGUCAAAGAUAGAAAACUUCGUGUUUUCCCGGAUUUAUAUUGAGAAAAGACUUAAUCUUCUCUUCUCAACAUUUACCUCUGCAAUGCAGGAGAACCCGCUGAACUUAA
RNAcentral lists this unclassified non-coding RNA (291 nucleotides) under uncultured fungus. Its description in RNAcentral is "sequence contains ITS1". The stretch from base 1 to 101 matches the Rfam family "5.8S ribosomal RNA", at positions 50 to 154 of the family's 154-position model. Lineage: Eukaryota; Fungi. The record is from RNAcentral.